This 329-nucleotide ribosomal RNA is filed under the name uncultured bacterium. RNAcentral's name for it is "bacterial SSU rRNA". It matches the Rfam family "Bacterial small subunit ribosomal RNA", at positions 28 to 323 of the family's 1533-position model. The record is from RNAcentral.
GACGAACGCUGGCGGCGUGCCUAAUACAUGCAAGUCGAACGCACUCUCGUUUAGAUUGAAGGAGCUUGCUCCUGAUUGAUAAACAUUUGAGUGAGUGGCGGACGGGUGAGUAACACGUGGGUAACCUGCCCUAAAGUGGGGGAUAACAUUUGGAAACAGAUGCUAAUACCGCAUAAAACCUAACACCGCAUGGUGUAGGGUUGAAAGAUGGUUUCGGCUAUCACUUUAGGAUGGACCGCGGUGCAUUAGUUAGUUGGUGAGGUAAAGGGCUCACCAAGACCGCGAUGCAUAGCCGACCUGAGAGGGUAAUCGGCCACACUGGGACUGAG